RNAcentral lists this non-coding RNA (83 nucleotides) under bovine gut metagenome. RNAcentral describes it as "Glycine riboswitch". It matches the Rfam family "Glycine riboswitch aptamer". Rfam says of the family: This family represents the bacterial glycine riboswitch. Glycine riboswitches usually consist of two metabolite-binding aptamers domains with similar structures in tandem. The aptamers cooperatively bind glycine to regulate the expression of downstream genes. The record is from RNAcentral. RNAcentral also lists the same sequence under 1 other name.
AGGAACUCUGGAGAACCCCGCAUGGGCGGGUGCCGAAGGUGCAAGGCGAGAGCCGAAUCUCUCAGGCAAAAGGACAGAGCGGA